UACGUAGGGUGCAAGCGUUAAUCGGAAUUACUGGGCGUAAAGCGUGCGCAGGCGGUUUUGUAAGUCUGUCGUGCAAGCCCCGGGCUCAACCUGGGAAUUGCGAUGGAGACUGCAAGGCUUGAAUCUGGCAGAGGGGGGUAGAAUUCCACGUGUAGCAGUGAAAUGCGUAGAGAUGUGGAGGAACACCGAUGGCGAAGGCAGCCCCCUGGGCCAAGAUUGACGCUCAUGCACGAAAGCGUGGGG
This 243-nucleotide ribosomal RNA is filed under the name uncultured bacterium. Its description in RNAcentral is "partial 16S ribosomal RNA". It matches the Rfam family "Bacterial small subunit ribosomal RNA", at positions 524 to 766 of the family's 1533-position model. The record is from RNAcentral.